This 22-nucleotide unclassified non-coding RNA is filed under the name Chlamydomonas reinhardtii. RNAcentral's name for it is "small RNA Cre_3316". The record is from RNAcentral. Lineage: Eukaryota; Viridiplantae; Chlorophyta; Chlorophyceae; Chlamydomonadales; Chlamydomonadaceae.
UGGCGGAGCUGCUGGCGGGGCU